Molecule: ribosomal RNA, 253 nt
Filed under: uncultured bacterium
Lineage: Bacteria
Description: partial 16S ribosomal RNA
Rfam family: Bacterial small subunit ribosomal RNA
Source: RNAcentral
UACGUAGGGUGCAAGCGUUAAUCGGAAUUACUGGGCGUAAAGCGUGCGCAGGCGGUUAUGUAAGCCAGAUGUGAAAUCCCCGGGCUCAACCUGGGAAUGGCAUUUGGGACUGCAAGGCUGGAGUUUGGCAGAGGAGACUGGAAUUCCUGGUGUAGCAGUGAAAUGCGUAGAUAUCAGGAGGAACACCGAUGGCGAAGGCAGGUCUCUGGGCUGAAACUGACGCUCAAGCACGAAAGCGUGGGGAGCAAACAGG